UGUCAAGGGAUGGGAAUCUAACCCACGACCUUCCGCUUACCGGGCAGAUGCCAUGACCACUAGGCUACCCUGGAC
RNAcentral lists this transfer RNA (75 nucleotides) under Cordylochernes scorpioides. RNAcentral's name for it is "tRNA-Thr". Lineage: Eukaryota; Metazoa; Arthropoda; Arachnida; Pseudoscorpiones; Chernetidae. The record is from RNAcentral.